CAGUCGAGCGGAGAUGAGGUGCUUGCACCUUAUCUUAGCGGCGGACGGGUGAGUAAUGCUUAGGAAUCUGCCUAUUAGUGGGGGACAACAUUCCGAAAGGAAUGCUAAUACCGCAUACGCCCUACGGGGGAAAGCAGGGGAUCUUCGGACCUUGCGCUAAUAGAUGAGCCUAAGUCGGAUUAGCUAGUUGGUGGGGUAAAGGCCUACCAAGGCGACGAUCUGUAGCGGGUCUGAGAGGAUGAUCCGCCACACUGGGACUGAGACACGGCCCAGACUCCUACGGGAGGCAGCAGUGGGGAAUAUUGGACAAUGGGCGGAAGCCUGAUCCAGCCAUGCCGCGUGUGUGAAGAAGGCCUUUUGGUUGUAAAGCACUUUAAGCGAGGAGGAGGCUACUUAGAUUAAUACUCUAGGAUAGUGGACGUUACUCGCAGAAUAAGCACCGGCUAACUCUGUGCCAGCAGCCGCGGUAAUACAGAGGGUGCGAGCGUUAAUCGGAUUUACUGGGCGUAAAGCGUGCGUAGGCGGCUGAUUAAGUCGGAUGUGAAAUCCCUGAGCUUAACUUAGGAAUUGCAUUCGAUACUGGUCAGCUAGAGUAUGGGAGAGGAUGGUAGAAUUCCAGGUGUAGCGGUGAAAUGCGUAGAGAUCUGGAGGAAUACCGAUGGCGAAGGCAGCCAUCUGGCCUAAUACUGACGCUGAGGUACGAAAGCAUGGGGAGCAACAGGAUUAGAUACCCUGGUAGUCCAUGCCGUAAACGAUGUCUACUAGCCGUUGGGGCCUUU
Molecule: ribosomal RNA, 779 nt
Filed under: Acinetobacter sp.
Lineage: Bacteria; Pseudomonadati; Pseudomonadota; Gammaproteobacteria; Moraxellales; Moraxellaceae
Description: bacterial SSU rRNA
Rfam family: Bacterial small subunit ribosomal RNA
Source: RNAcentral